GUCCACGCAGUAAACGAUGAUCACUAGCUGUUUGCGAUACACGGUAAGCGGCACAGCGAAAGCGUUAAGUGAUCCACCUGGGGAGUACGCCGGCAACGGUGAAACUCAAAGGAAUUGACGGGGGCCCGCACAAGCGGAGGAACAUGUGGUUUAAUUCGAUGAUACGCGAGGAACCUUACCCGGGUUUGAACGCAUUUCGACCGCUCUGGAAACAGAUCCUCUAGCGAUAGCGAUUUGCGAGGUGCUGCAUGGUUGUCGU
This 259-nucleotide ribosomal RNA is filed under the name uncultured bacterium. RNAcentral's name for it is "partial 16S ribosomal RNA". It matches the Rfam family "Bacterial small subunit ribosomal RNA", at positions 793 to 1055 of the family's 1533-position model. The record is from RNAcentral.